This 979-nucleotide non-coding RNA is filed under the name Locustella castanea (Chestnut-backed bush-warbler). RNAcentral describes it as "12S ribosomal RNA". It matches the Rfam family "Bacterial small subunit ribosomal RNA". The record is from RNAcentral. Lineage: Eukaryota; Metazoa; Chordata; Aves; Passeriformes; Locustellidae.
AAAGACUUAGUCCCAACCUUACUGUUGGUUGUUGCUAGACUUAUACAUGCAAGUAUCCGCGCGCCAGUGAGAGAGGCCCUAGGUACCCUAAAUUAGGUCGAUAGGAGCAGGUAUCAGGCACACCAUUACCGUAGCCCAAGACGCCUCGCAAUUGCCACGCCCCCACGGGUAUACAGCAGUAAUCAAUAUUAAGCAAUGAGUGUAAACUUGACUUAGUCAUAGCAAUUUAGGGUCGGUAAAUCCUGUGCCAGCCACCGCGGUCAUACAGGAGACCCAAAUCAACAUUAUAACGGCGUAAAGUGUGGUACUAUGUUAUCCAAGUAACUAAGAUUAAAAAGCAGCUGAGCCGUCAUAAGCCAAAGAUGCCCAUUAAGGCCACUUCCUAAAGAAAAUCUUAGAAUACCGAUCAAUUGAAACCCACGAAAGCCAGGGCCCAAACUGGGAUUAGAUACCCCACUAUGCCUGGCCCUAAAUCUUGAUGCUCGAUCUUACCGGAGCAUCCGCCCGAGAACUACGAGCCCCAACGCUUAAAACUCUAAGGACUUGGCGGUGCUCUAAACCCACCUAGAGGAGCCUGUUCUGUAAUCGAUGAUCCACGUUAUACCUGACCAUUCCUUGCCAAAUCAGCCUAUAUACCGCCGUCGCCAGCCCACCCACCAUGAAGGCCCCAACAGUGGACGCAAUAGCCCAGUUACGCUAAUACGACAGGUCAAGGUAUAGCCUAUGGAAUGGAAGCAAUGGGCUACAUUUUCUAGAUUAGAACACACGGCAAAGGGAUCUGAAACGGCCCCUGGAAGGCGGAUUUAGCAGUAAAGAGAGAUAAUCGAGCUCUCUUUAAGCCGGCUCUGGAGCGCGUACAUACCGCCCGUCACCCUCCUCAAAAGCGACCAAAACCCCCCCCAUAAAUUAAUAAGUUUUUCAGCCGAAGAUGAGGUAAGUCGUAACAAGGUAAGUGUACCGGAAGGUGUACUUAGGAUAC